Molecule: long non-coding RNA, 1485 nt
Organism: Scylla paramamosain (green mud crab)
Lineage: Eukaryota; Metazoa; Arthropoda; Malacostraca; Decapoda; Portunidae
Exons: 3
Source: RefSeq, a predicted model, not a curated record
AAGGGAUGCAGUACAAACGCAAGUCUCAACAGUAGAGAGUCAAAACCAUCCAGCACUCAGUGGCCCCAUCGCGCUGGUCAGUAGAGGACCCGAGGCCAUCAGACGCAGCGGAACCUUUCUGGGUCGUAAGGUGAUAGUCCGGGGGACGUAAAUAGCCAGACGACGCGAGGAGGAAAGUGCGGGAGACUGGAAUGAAGCGACUGGAGAGUUAUGAAGGAUGAGUAUGAAGAUUCUUUGUCUUUUUAUUGAUUGAUUUAUUUAUUCAUUCAUUUAUCUGUUUGUUUAUUUAUUUAUUUUAUUUAUUUACUUAUUUGUCUGGUGUGGGUUUGUGUCUCUAAGGUGUUGGGUCUGCUUGUCUUCUUUCUCAGAUUUACACUAUAAUCUUUGAAGCAAUACUCACAUAAAUGGGCACUGAAUGUUUAGUAAAGCUCCCCAAAGAUUUACACUAUCGUUGUUCAAGCAAUGUUCACCAGAGUGGGGACAACGUUUAGUAAAGCUUCCCAAGUGUAGGUAGUUUAAUGUUUACUUAGUAAAACCACCGCGGGUUACUGAAAGAAAAUGGUUCUCUCAUAAGAGCGCAAUGAUGAUUAAUUUGGUCUCUUUCUUUAUUUUUUUUAUUUUAUUAUUUACUUAUUUUUUGUUAAUGGUAAUGCAUGACGUGAGCUGCAGCAUCACCAUUAUGGACACACUCUUCAAGACCCCCAUUAUUGUCCUCUCUGUGUGAAAUGCGUAGGGAAAGUACUUAUAGAACACCAAAUCCGAACUGUGGCCCCGGUAUUUUGUGUUACUGGCCAGUGUUCAGUUAUAUGAUGCUGCAAAGGGUCUUCGGGUCCUCCAGGCUCACUUCCCUAACCUUGCUCUGUACUCUCGCUCUUCCUUCUUACAAGCAGAAAGUGAGUCCAUUGCAAUAUGAAAAGGAUAUAAAAAAGGUGCCAGAUUAUGAAGAAAUGCAGUUGUAGUGUAGAAUGUUACUAAUAUUGUACCGAAAUGCAUUAUUCAUACAUAUUUUGAAGCUUUUAAAGCAUUCUGCACAUCUUACCGUGUUGUUUUAUAUUUGACAGUGCCGACGAAGUCCCGAGCGGCUUCGAGACAAGGAAGAGAAGCUCCGCGACUCACUUGAGCCAGUCAGUCAGUGGUCAGUGGCGUCAGCUUUGUUGUGGUGUACGCGUGAGUCUUGUGUUUUCUUGAACGCUUUUUUGGGCUUUAGGUGAACCAAAACUCUCCCAAAGCCUGUCCACAGUGGUCAGCAGCUGUGACACAAGGAGCAGCUUUCUCAGCGACGGGGAGCGGUGGACGGCGGAUGAAUACUUCGGCUCCCGCGCCUUCUUCUGCAUCAUGUCCGACCCUCUGACCCUGGUGGUGGGCGACCUGCGUCAGAGGAGUUGAAAAUGUAGGGGACUCGCUGCUGUGCCCUGCGUGUAGCUGUGAGAUGAAGUACAGACGGCUGCAUUGUCUCAGCCUCGGAGGUGCCACUUGUUCAAAUUA